CACCUAGCUCUGUUUAUAAAGAUUAUUUUCCAUAUGUGCAUGCUCACAGCUCAGCUUUCUUGCUGGGUGGUGUGCAAGGCAGGAAAGACUAGAUACUCUGGUAGAAUGUGGGAAACAAACUGUGAGUUUUCCAGAAAUAGUCUGAUGCUAGCUUAUGUUUUGGAAUGUGAUGUAAAUUUACUACCAUUGCCUUACUUUAAUUAUAUAAAAAAUUGCUGUCUAUUAAAAAUAUGAAAAAAAAUUCAAUAUACCACUGUUUUACUUUCUUCAGAUUCUGAAUUGUCAUGUUUCUUCUUUGCAGAGGCAACAGUGCAGGACAUUCUGGCACCUGCUGCCAGAUUCUAAGCCUGACUGAAAAAAUUAUUCACUAUGUCUGUGAACUUGGGCAUGUUUCUCAGUCUUUCUGUGCCUCAAUUUUCUUGCCUAGAAAAUGGUAAAACAGAGUCAUUAUGGGGAUUAAUUUUAUGUAUCUAUAUCUAUAUAGUAUCCACACUUAGUGUGUGGCUACUUGUCACCCAACAGUGGUAAUAUUCUCUAUAUUAUUUUUCCUGAGCAAACAUUUGAAAUGUACUUUUCAUGUACAUUUAAAAUGUAACUUAAAAUUUCUUCUAAGUUAAAGCUUCUGGAAUCUUCUGGCAUCUCUGAGAGAAUGCUGUGGGAACUAUUUAAGCAACCUAAAUGUCAAUUCAGAUUUUAAGCUCUAGCCCAGCUUUUCACAAAGAAUCUGGUGAAAUUACUUGACCUUUCACACAAGGACUCGAUGUAAAAAUAGGAGCAGUACUUGAUGUAUUGUCCACAAUCCCUCUUUUCUCUCCCUCACACCCAUCUGACCUCUAGUCAGCGUUGUUGGGCACAGGGGGUGUGGAGGUGCAAGAGCGAGAAGGGUUCCCUGACGAAUACAGGGGUGUCGGACUGUGUUGCCUUCCGUUAUACUGGUGAUGAAAUUCUGUGAAGCAGUGAUGUUCAGAUCUGUGAUGCAUUUGGCGGGGAGACCUCACCUGGUCAGGAAAGACUCACUUCAGGAGGGAACUUGAGAUUAAGUCCAAAGAGUGACAAGUAUCGUUAACUACAAAUGGAAUGAACAGGGCGGGGCAUGUAUUUCAGGCAGAGAUGGAUGAUUAAAGGGAGCCAUUGGUAUGGAAAAUGUAUAUACAUAUUUUUUAAAUUAAUUCUUAUUUUUGGCAGUUAUGGUAUUUUGCUGUUAAAUAUAGUCUACCUAGGAAGAUUCAUGUAACAGUCUUAAAUUUUUAAAUAUAAGAAUGUGUAUGUAUGAAUGACUGGGUCACUACACUGUACAGCAGAAAUUGACACAACACUAAAUCAACUAUGCUCUAAUUUUUAAAAAUGUAAGAAAUGGUUUUUAGGAAUUCUCUGGUGGGGUCAGAUCAUGCAGUUGAUGAAUAAUUUUCAUCACUUUUUAAAAAAUUGAGCACAUUACCCUGUUUUGCUAUUUAUUAGAGGAUAUUUGCCAUUUUUAUUAGAUAUUUAUUAGAGGAUAUUUGCCAUUUAUUAGAGGAUAAUCAAACAAAGCAGGAGAAUCACUUCAUCAGUUAUUUUAUUUCCAGUUACAAAUACUUAUAUUUUUUGGAUUUAGAACUAACCAUUCUGUUUUAUAAUAAUUCUAAUGCAUUUUUUCUCUGUGUUUAUAUUCCUGGAAAUAAAUUACUCUUUGUAGUUUAUGUAACUGUUAAAGUAUAAAAUUGAAUAGACUUUGAGUAACACCUCAUUUGUAUAUUCUAUCAGCAAUUACAUUUCAGCUAAUUUUUAUUUUUAUUUAAAAUUUUUUUUGGCUGUGCCCACAGCAUGCAGAAGUUCCUGGGCCAGGAGUUGAACCCACAAUACAGCCGUAACCAGAACCACAACAGUGAGAACACUGGAUCUUAAUCCGCUGAGCCACCAGGGAUCUUAACCCACUGAGCCACCAGGGAACUCUAUGUCCCUCAGGACUUAAACAUUUCUUGUUAGAAUAAUGAGUUAUGAUAACUGUACAGUCUAUGCCUUCUGAUGCCCUACCUCCAAGUGUUUUGGAGUCUAACGGAAUCUCUCUCACAGGCUUAUGUAGUUUAUCUGGUGUCAACCACAAGGAGCUGGUCUUAAUUUUCUCCUUUGCGCCACCUGCUAAGGUUCUGUCCUGUUCACUGGGCAGUGCUGCUUUUGGUGGUUUUUGUUGCUGAUCCUUUUCUUGGCUGUUGCAAGGACCAUCUGGGCUGGGUCACUGACCGAUUUCGAGGACUGGCUGGUAAAGCUCUCUAGUCUGGGAGUUUUAUUUCUAAAAAGAUUUUUCAUUAUUGAUUUAAUUUUAUUUAGUGGCACAUUCGCCCCAUCAGUCUGUUGUGGUAAAUAAUAGUUUUCUAACAAUUUGCCCAUUUAAUCUGUAUUUUAAAAAUUAUGGCGAUAUUCCUUUUUCAUUCCUGAUAUUGCUUAUUUCUGCCUUCUCUUUUUUCCUAAUCAUCCUGGGACGGGGAGGGGUGUUGACAGUUUAUUUUACAGUCUUUCCCACAAAAGCCAAUUUUUGGCUUUGUUGAUCUUCUCAUACAUGUUUUCUCUUUUAAUCAAAUUUGCUCGUAUCUUUAUUCUCUCCUUUCUUUUGUUUUUGGGUUUAUUUUGCUGGGUUUCCCUCCCAUUGUCUUGAUGAAGCCUUAUCCCACUAAUCUUUACGCCUUUAUAAGACAUUUAAGACUGUACAUUUCCCGUACGUGUUACUUUGGUUGCAUCCUACAGGUUUGGAGAUGCACUGUAUGCUCUAUGCUUUUGAAUCUCAUAAUUUAAAAGAGAGUCUGUGCUGUUGAUCCCUUCAUGUUACAUUUUUCUAUUUUUCCUUCGUUUUCUAAAGCUGAACUUAACCUAUUUUUUUCAAAGCUCCAAUAUGGACACCUACUAAUCAUUUUUUCUUUUAUAAUUGAUAUGGCCCUGCUUUGGCUGAUUCCCAUUCCUCUCCCUUUGGUUGCUUUUUAUCAGUCUUUUCCCACCUUCUGGAGUAGCACAGCAGACCAUGCAGGAGAAAAAGAAAUGAAGAGCCAUGUGUUUCUCUCUAUUUCCCACCCCAUCCCCACCUCGGCUCCAGUAAGAGGGUAUGUUUAUAGGACUAGAAUAGACUAUCUUGGACGCAAAUUGCAGGAAGUACUAUGGGGCCUCCCGGAACCGGAAAAGCUGCUGAACAGCCUGCUUCUCCAUCUCCCUCCGAGACCUCCGGGUCUGUCUGCUGGUUUCAGCUUUGCUUGGCCUUUUGAGUUGUGCUCUCUUGCCUCCCUCUCUCCUGCCGUCCCUCAUUUGCUCCCUCCCUGCCUCCCGCCUCCCCCUUCCAGCCUCUCUGCCUCCUCCCUCCCACUUUCAUCCCUCCCGGCCCCCUCCCAGUCCCCGUUUCCCAGCUUCAUUCUCUCCCUCCAAUCUUGCUUCCAUCCUUGAAUUCUCAGUGUGUCCCCGCCUUCGCACUCCCCCCACCUCCAGACACAAAAGUUGGAAAGUUUCAAAAGUUGGGUAAACCACCACUCGAUACUCCUGAUUUGGGGAUCACAGAAGCCAUAUGGCACUGGCUCGUUACCCUCUAAGAAAACCUAAAGAAAAUCUCCUUUGCCCUCUGAAGUCCUAAAUGGAGCAAGCUGGCUCUGUCCAUAGCGUGUCUAUUCUCUCUGCACCCGGAGCAUCAGGAAUAAACAGGGUCACUGCCCCUUUAAGUAGAAACUGCCUUGAGGGAAGGGUGGAACCUAGGAGACUCCCUGAAGGACCUGGUCCAGGGGAGUGUCAGUUGGGCCUGGGUGGGAAGCCAGCCCCUAGGAAAGCUGCUGCUGUGCCUCGGGAAACUUUCCCUGUAGUCUAGGGAGACACCUGCUGUGAGUAUUUAACUGUAAUUCAGAGAACUGUGCAAAGAAUUGCCCCUUGGUGCUCCUGUUUGUGGUUUAUUACCUUGAAAGGCAGUUGGCUUCCAAAUACCCAUCUUGGAGGGUGAAAUAAGGUUCAGUCCAGCCAUGUGUUACCCGCCUAGUCGGGACAUUGUAAAAGCUAUUUUUUAAAAAAAAAAACCAAAAACACCACUUGGAGGAUUAUUUGGAGAUUACGAAGGGAGGAAUUUUUUUCCUCUCCUUGUUAACUGAGAUGAAUUGUGAGUCCUUUUUCAGUUUAAGGUCUUGAAAGAUGUAGUUGCGUAACAGCUUUUUGAUUUGACUCCCCAGCUGAAGCCACUGUGAAUGGACUUAAAGAUGAUUUCGAAUUUUCUCUUGAGCUUUUCUAUCAGAAAACAUUACCUUCGUUUAUCCAUACUUGGAAAAUGCUGUUGCUGGACUUGAUAUAUGUUUUUGAAAUCAAAGUCUUUAGAUUUCUAUGGAAAGCAUCAGUUGCAUGGUUCUUUUGAAAUGUUCAAAAUUUUGGGGAAUGCUUCUUAGAGAUGAUGAAUUCUAGCUUAAAAAACUAUAACAGUAUGUAUAUGUGUAUGUAUAUACACACACACACAGUGUUUCUACAGUUUCUGUAGAUUGAGCUGAUUUGUAUGCUGGCAAAAGUGCUCAUCCAAUUGUAUAGUGCUACGUAAAUUUCAAAUACUUCAGAGUAUUUGGUGUUAACUUUUACAAUUAAUAAUUAGUUUAGAAUUUAAAAAUUUAAAACCAUUUAAGGUUCAUGAAAGAGCUGUUCACUAGCUUAAAAUUGGAGAAAAUAAUUACAGGAAUUUUGCAUUUGGCUCACUUACAAAAACAGAGUAUAAUUAGUUUUAUUUAAAGAGAGGUGAAUCAAAAAGAUAGUAGACAAGUAAACUUUUAAGUUUUUUACAACUAAAUCUGUAGAUUUCAUCAAUGCUGUUUGAAGAAAAGAUAGACAUUAGAGCUGAAAUUGCAAAUGGGAGAUUUUCUCUUUGGGCAUAAGUGAAAAUUCUUAAAUCUUAAAAGAGAAACAGGCUUUUUGCCUAAAUUAACGGUUGCAUGUGAUGGCAAUUUUUUCUAAUUAUUUUUAGUGAAAGACAAAUUAAUCUAUUUUUAAAAAUUCUAAUAUAGGGAGUUCCUGCUGUGGCUCAGUGGUAGUGAACACAACUAGUAUCCAUGAGGACGCAGGUUUGAUCCCUGGCCUCCCUCAGUGAGUUAAAGAUCUGGCAUUGCCGUGAGCUGUGGUGUAGGUUUCGGACUCGGCUUGGAUCUAGCUUGACUGUGGCUGUGGCAUAGGCUGUCAGCUGCAGUGCCAAUUAUACUUCUAGCCUGGGAACUUCCACAUGCUGCAGAUGCGACUCUAAAAAAAAAAAAGCAAAAAUUUUAAUUUAUCUUGAUUUAUGGGUUCCUGAAGUGUUUAUAAACUUUCUAAUAAGUUUAGGAUAGCGAGUUAGAGAUAAUUUAAUAUCUGAUUGCUAAUGAUCAAAUAAUGUUUGUUUUCAUAACAAUACAGAUGUAGAUGGAAAGAUUAUUUUUUAAAAAAUCACUGAAAUAAAUUAGGUUUUAGUUCUUGAUAAAUAAACAACUAGGAGUUGUUUAUGAUGUAAUUUUUUAGAAUUGGCUUGUAAUGAUUUUUUAAAAGAUAUUACUUUUGUUAAAUAGAACUUAGGAGUCACAAGUGAAUAUCCCACUGAAAUUAAUGAUUAAAUGAAAACAUUUUGGCUAUAUGUUUCAGCUCACUUAUAGCAUUAAAUGAUUUUAUUUGUCCACGUGUUUUGGAUUUUGACUUCUCUGAGUAUUGGCUUUUACAUGUGUUGGCUCAUUUGGAUCCUUGGAAUAACUUGUGAGGCAGGUAAAGCAAAUACUCAGAGGUCAAGAGAUUGCUGCCUGUGGAAGCCUCGCUAGUCAGCUGGCCUGUCCCAGUCUUUCACCUUCUGAGUUUAUAGUUUAUAUGUAGUACAUCUAAAGUAUGCUUAAUAAAUAUUUGUUGGAAUGAAUUAGCAUAUGCUUUUUAUCAUAAAGCAGUAUAACUUCAUAAUGAUUGAAUUAGAAAUCUCUUUACUAAGAAAUUUGGAAGAUAUUAAGAACUUAGAAGGGCAAAGUCUUCAAAUUCAACUACAUGGUAUUGGGUGAAAGAAAAUCAUCUCAUUUGUAUGUGAAAAUCAUAUUUGUAUGUGAUUGUAAUAUAUAAAAAUGUAAUUAUAUAUCUAGGUACAUUAAGAAUAUGUAAUUAUGGAGUUCUCGUCGUGGCACAGUGGUUAACGAAUCUGACUAAGAACCAUUAGGUUGCGGGUUCGGUCCCUGGCCUUGCUCAGUGGGUUAAGGAUCCGGUGUUGCCAUGAGCUGUGGUGUAGGUUGCAGAUGCGGCUCGGAUCCCGCAUUGCUGUGGCUCUGGCUUAGGCCGGUGGUUAUAGUUCCAAUUCGACCCCUAGCCUGGGAAUCUCCACAUGCUGCGGGAGGGUCCCAAGAAAUGGC
Molecule: long non-coding RNA, 6326 nt
Filed under: Sus scrofa (pig)
Lineage: Eukaryota; Metazoa; Chordata; Mammalia; Artiodactyla; Suidae
Description: lncRNA (ENSSSCG00055015445.1)
Source: RNAcentral